CAUUACUUUGUAUUUUUUGUUUUUAUAUUUGGAUACUUUUAUACUUUGUUUUGUUAUUACUAACUCGCAGCGACGUAACAAUGAGCUUCCUCUCUCUCUCUCUCUCUCUCUUUCUCUUAUUUUGCGUUCGUUACUAUAUAUCACUAUAGUUACUAGCUGCUCCUAGCCUAAAUAUGCGCUUACGUUUCUAUCGAUUGAGCUUUUGUUAUAGAGAUAUUUCUCUGAAAUCGAUUUUCUGACAGUGGCACGAAAGGGUGAAAUUCAAGUUGCUUUAACGACGCGUUCUCCACCAAUGUAUUUUUCUACCAAGUUCCGUCGCCUAUCGACUACCCUUGAGCGUGCCCGCGUCAGCAAUGACGUUUUGUACGAACUUUACCAGCGGCACGGGGUGAAGCCGAUUCUUCUCGUAGAAUGACAAUGAAUCGCUUCUGUACGAUCGACAGGAUUUCCCGCUGUCGGUCCUUUGUCGCCCUCGAGAAUCGACGCGGAUUGUGCCCCGGGCGAGAGAAAAUAUUUGCCGUCGGCGACCCACAAUACGUCCACUUGUGUGGGAAGCGGUUAUGGCAAGCUCGGCGACGUAUAACUCUAUUUAUCUCGGUUGAAUACUGGCCUUCGUGCUUCUUGCUCGACAUGUUGGACAAUCCAUAUUCCUCGGGAGUGCAGUUCUGUCAAGCUCAUGCUCGAUUAAACCUUAAUCCAAUUCCAAGUCGGAUAUUCUUGCCUUCUAUCCUUGUUCAAUACAUUCACGCAUUUUGAAAAUUACUCUAUAUACUUUACACUCUAAAUUAAUAUUUUGUACUCAUUGUCGACAAAGAAUAGAAAUUUUUUUUAUAUAAUAAAACGUAUAUUUAUUAACAAUGUUUUAUAUAUAUACUAGACACCACAGAUGGACGCUUCGCGCGUACUAUUUAAGUUUUCAUUUUUUACUUUUUUAAAAUAAAUUACAAUAAUAAUUGAAUAGAUAACCAUCUAUACAAAUUUUCAUUUGUUAACUCCACGAUGACAGUCUUUCAUCAAAUUAGCGCAACAAGAGAAUCAAUCAGCGUUGCGAAAAAGCGGUGACAUUACCAUAGGUUUAUGAAAUAUGUCAUGAACGGAUUACACCAUGUGACUUGGUUGCAAGAGCUUAAAUAGAGGGUCUCACCUUACGAUCACAUAAUACUCUGACAAUGAGAUCUGAAAUCUUCCGUAGCAUCCAGUAUAUACUGUAUAUACUCUGUGGUUUCAGAGAUACAAUAAAAAUUUAUAUUUUAAUUUUUUCACAAAACUUUUCUGUAAUUAUAUAAAAAGUUUUAUAAUCCUUAAUAUUGUAAUAAUAUACAGUACAUUAAACAUAUGUUUAAAAUGGCGACGAGCACAAAAAUAGAAGAAAUUUGCAAAAUACUUGUAACUCUCUUGUAAAUAGAGAUACAUUCAUCAGUCAAAUACAGCUGCAGAUUUUUGGAGAAUAGUUUUCCCACAAGAUAUUCUCAGCUGCGUGACCCUCGAGGAUGCAUGCAUCUAAGCUAUACCAAAGAUCUUUCGAAAUCUAAAAGAAGCACGAAUCACAUCACUCUCGGAGUAAUACUGAAGAGUCUGAAUUAAAUCGGACGCGUGAGCACUCGAUCAAUUACUUUAGCAUUAACGCCUUACAGUUGAAUCGCACUUUUACCGAUCGCGUUUCACUCGGCCAGUUUUGAGCGUGCACCUGAGAACGGCGAUUCUUUACGGAACUUGGUUUUUCGAGUGGUAAGAUCGUGAGAUUUAACAGGGUCGGAAACAUUUUUUGAAUAUUGACAGCCCUCCGCACGCACACACAAUUUGUUGGCUCCUCCCUGAAAGUAUAUCCAUCCUUUUAGCUGCUCAAGAUUGCUCUAACAGGAUUAUGUCGAGAGAUGGCGAACAAUUGCCAAUUACGUUGUCAACUUUACAAACGUUCUCCUUUUUCUCGUUUAUUUUCUUUUAAAUAUUACUAAUUCUAGUUAGAAAAUUGCAACUUGGUUUCAAUUUUAAAUAAACAUUUUAAAUAAAUAGUAAUACAAUAUUUAUAUAAGAAUAAAAUAUUAUAUUUAUAUAAGAUUUAGACUGGAAUUGAGAAGAUCUUAAAUUUUGAUUAUCGACAUAUUUUUCUAUUUAUAUAUAGCAUUUCUCACAUUUCGUGUGAUAUUAAAUAAUGAUAAGUGAGUUUAAUAAUACGGAAUAAACGGGGCAAGUACAUUGUGGUAACAGAAGGGUGAAAUAAAACGGCGAGAACCGUCACUUCAAAUUCUGGUCCAGGUUCACCCUAGCCUCUUCGUCACUCUUGUUUCGCAAGAAUGACGUUUUAACAAUCAUGAAUAUGACGUCUUCCUUUUCGAGAAGGGUCUAUCCUAUCGUGCAAACCAAAGGUUAAUGGCUCCCAGAUUUUCCACGUAUUCACACAUAUAUAAAUAUUCUCUUCUCUCCUAUUCAUGUCGCUCCGUGAUGUCUCUGUGUCGAUUUCAAGACACAGAUUGCUUCACAUGUGGAAAGUAACGUUUAUCUUUUUCUUUACAUAGGAGAGUGUAUUGUUAUGCAAAGUAAUUUCAACGUUUUUGUAUCUACAUGCAUAUUCUUUUACUUAGGUAUCUAUACAGUAACACAAUAAUAUUAAACCUACGAUUGUUUUUCAUUCAAUUUAUCUUUAUGUCUUAAAUUUAAAUUUUAUAAUAAACAAACAUUAUAUAGAAAUAUAGAAAUAUAGACCUAUGUAGGAGCUGUAUAUGUUUUGCCAAUAAUAAGAGCACGGAAUAAGGGCACGACACUGGAUUGAUAUGGAAAAACGGAUAUCAUUUUUUAUAUUGGCUCAAUACUACAUCAGUAUUAAAAAAUAGUUGUAUUAUUGGUACUGGUUCCGUAUAAAAAAUUGGCACUAAAUAAUCUUAUUAUGUUUAUACUGAAACAGUAUUAAAAAUCAUUAAUCAUUUUUCGAUUUUGAUCCACUGCUACAAAAUUUCUAAUGCCAUAAACUGUCAUAGUUCUAAACACACACAAAAAUUUACUUAAAGAUGUAUCGGACUGAAGUUCAAAAUGGUACAAAGUUGCUAAAAAUUUGUGAAAUUGUUCUCUUAGUUUCCUUAAUGUACUGCAAAAAAUUGAAAACGCAUCCACUAAACGGUUGUUGAGUUAUAACUAUUUUAAUUUUCACUGAUUUUACAUGAUAUCCUUUUCUAUCUUAUGGAAAAAGACGAUCUUGACGGAUGAAACAG
This 3206-nucleotide long non-coding RNA is filed under the name Monomorium pharaonis (pharaoh ant). Its description in RNAcentral is "uncharacterized LOC118644952". The record is from RNAcentral. Lineage: Eukaryota; Metazoa; Arthropoda; Insecta; Hymenoptera; Formicidae.